GAUGAAGAACGCAGCGAAAUGCGAUAAGUAAUGUGAAUUGCAGAAUUCAGUGAAUCAUCGAAUCUUUGAACGCACCUUGCGCCCUUUGGCCAUUCCGAAGGGCAUGCCUGUUUGAGUAUCAUGAACACCUCAACUCUUCAUGGUUUUCCAUGAUGAGCUUGGACUUUGGGGGUCUUGCUGGCCUGUGGGUCGGCUCCUCUCAAAUGAAUCAGCUUGCCAGUUUUUGGUGGGCAUCACAGGUGUGAUAACUAUCUACGCUUGUGGUUUUCCACCAGGGUAACCUUCAGCAGUGGAGGUUCACUGGAGCUUACAAAUGUCUCUCCUCUGUGAGGACAGCCCUUUGAAUGUUUGAUCUCAAAUCAGGUAGGACUACCCGCUGAACUUAAGCAUAUCAAUGAGCGGAGGA
This 406-nucleotide unclassified non-coding RNA is filed under the name soil metagenome. RNAcentral's name for it is "partial contains 5.8S ribosomal RNA, internal transcribed spacer 2, and large subunit ribosomal RNA". The stretch from base 1 to 121 matches the Rfam family "5.8S ribosomal RNA", at positions 35 to 154 of the family's 154-position model. The record is from RNAcentral.